This 253-nucleotide ribosomal RNA is filed under the name uncultured bacterium. Its description in RNAcentral is "partial 16S ribosomal RNA". It matches the Rfam family "Bacterial small subunit ribosomal RNA", at positions 524 to 776 of the family's 1533-position model. The record is from RNAcentral.
UACAGAGGUCCCAAGCGUUGUUCGGAUUCACUGGGCGUAAAGGGUGCGUAGGCGGCCGGGUAAGUCUGAUGUGAAAUCCCGCAGCUUAACUGCGGAACUGCAUCGGAUACUCUCCGGCUAGAGGAAUGGAGGGGAGACUGGAAUUCUCGGUGUAGCAGUGAAAUGCGUAGAUAUCGAGAGGAACACCAGUGGCGAAGGCGAGUCUCUGGACAUUUCCUAACGCUGAGGCACGAAAGCCAGGGGAGCAAACGGG